AUAAGUUAAUAAGUGAUAACUUUCAGACAUUUACACCACACGCUGCAUCCCCAAAACAUUUCCAUACCGAAUCAUUCGGGCCCUCACAACCCGACUGUGUUACAGCUUCUUCUCCCAAGCCAUCAGACUCCUCAGUACUCGGAGACUGCACUGAUACACACAUGCACGCACGCACACACACACACACACACACACACACACACACACACACACACACACACAGAACUAAACACCAUCCCACUCCCACUGAAAUAUUUGCACAUUCCUGCAUUGACACUGUUGCAUUUUUGCUGCUACUGUAUUAUACAAAUAUCGUAUUUAAUUUAUUGUCACUAUAUACACUUUAUGUGGCUGCUACCACAAUAACUGCUAUGUCCAUAUUUGGUAUAAGCUAAUUUGCUGAAUACUCAGUCAUAGCAUGUUAUGUUUACAUUGAUACAAUUUUACCAUUAUAUUGUUACUCCUUGGCACCUGCCUUCUGCACUACCUGUUAUAUCAGACACUUCCACACUAAAACUGUGUAGGAACUACCACUACUAACUACUGGUAGGAACAACAUCUUUGAAUCCUACAUGAGGAGACAUGGAUACCGGCUUAACUGAAUCUAGAGACUUCUCGGUUUAUUUUGGUUUUUCUUCCCUUCCCCUUUUGAUCCUGUCAUUGUGUGCUUGAGAUCGUUACCGUUGUACUGUUUGAGUUCAUUUCUUCUUCUCAGGUCACGAUUUCCACUCACGCUAAACACUGGAGCACGCAGCAUGGUCCAAAGAGCAAGCACGCGCUUCCGGAUUUUCAGUGACAUUGACUUUGUUUACUUUCUACACGUGCAUCUGUUAUGGUUUAUGUUAUGUUUCCAUCCCUGUAUUGUCAUUGGUUGUAUCUGGUAUGUGUCAUCAUAAGUCUCAGCUGUUUUGUGUUCAUUACGUUUGUCAUUUAAACCCCUCGUGUCUCUUUGUACUUCGCGAAGUAUUGCGUGAGUUUUCCAAAUAACUGCUCCACAUCUGAGAGACUGAGACGGCCUCUCAAGCCAAGUUCCUGUCUAAGGUCGAAGAGAUGGCUUCUCAGGACAAGUUCCUUUCUGAGGCUGAUGAGGGAGUCUCAUCUCCAGAUCUCCUGCUAGAGGUCAAUGAGACAACCUCCCAAGCCAUGUUGCUGUCUUAGGUCAACAAGGUGACCUCCCAUGCCAAGUUCCUGCCUGAGGUUGAAGAGAUGGCCUCCCAAGCCAUGUUCCUGCCUGAGGUUGAAGAGAUAGCCUUCCAUGCCAUGUUCCUGCCAGAGGCUGACUAGGUGGUCUCAUCUCCAGAGCUUCUGCCCCCCUUCUAAUCAGGAAAAAUCUUCUGAACCAAUUCAAUCCCUUGAUCGAACUUCAAACACCUGAAGAUGUGGGCCCGAGUUUGAGAACCUCUACCCUUCGAACAAGCAAACAAUGCUGAGGCACACUGCCAAGUGGCAAACACAACCAAUCACCCAUCAAUCUGUGAGGAAGACAUGACCUCAAGACUGGACCAAGACCAAACAAAAUACCUGUUGUGCACUCUACAGCAAAUGCAAGAUUCAAUCUCAUACUGCCCUCAAAUCACCAAGGGGAAUACAAGUGCAUAGCAUAAUGACAGCCGAUGCUGUAUUGGCUCUUUGGGCAGACAACUCAGCCAUCAGUCUCAAGCUUUUCAACACUUUGAUGCAGAGCAUGCCUGAACUGCCUCACACUGUCAAGCGUACCCGAUUCCCUCUGGACCCUGACUGACAACCAUGGUGAGCGCCAAAGGCAUUUGUGCCCUCGAUGUAAGGUGGAAUGGAAGAUACCUGAACCAUUACUUCCUUGUGUGGGUCUAUACCAGUGCUAUAUAGUAGUCUAUACCAGUGCGGCUCUAUACCAGUGCUAUAUAGUGGUCGCUUAUGCCAGAACACUACAAACACCAGAUCACAAGUAUUCGGACUAUGAAGAGGCAAUGCUCUGCACUGUAUGGGCCAUUCAAUGAUUCUCCAACUACAUUAGGGGACAAAAAGUCAUUGUUGAAACCUGCCACCAACCUGUGACAUUCCUGAACAGCCAGCACAUUCAAGAUGGUACAGUCACCAAUGGACGAAUAGCCAUGUGGCUGAUGACCCUACAAGGACACAAUGUCAAAAGAUGAAAGCCACAAGUCUCCAUUAUGCAAUGGCCUGGCAGCCUGCCAAAACUGUUCUGAAGACACAUGGGGGGGGGGGGGGGGCACAAACCAUGUCCCCCGAACCCAAAACACAGCCAACGGAACAGACCAAUCACAGGUACUUUGGGAAAAGUAUGUGCCAGGACAUGCCCACAGCCUGUGUCAGUGGAUGUUCCUACAACCACCAGGAUAUCUUGAAAGCAGGAGCAGGCAUAGUCUGGUUUAAUGACUAUCCCUGCUCACCACAGCCAUUCCAACUGGGCCCCGACUCCUCAUUAGCAGCCAUCCUCAUAACCCUGCACAUAGCCAUGGUCUAUAACAUCAAAGAACUCGUCAUUUGCACCGUUUCAAUCUAUGCCCUACUGAGCUUCACAUGUCACCUACCAGGUUGGAAGUGGAACAGGUUCAAAACAUCAAACAACAAAUCAGUAAAAGACCAAGACCUUUUCAAAGCAUGUGACGUGAUCACUACAAGACAUGACGUACGUGUGUAUUGGAAGAAAGUAAGGGGCCACUCUUGACAACCAGGACAGGAUAAUUAUUACAAUGACCAAAGCAGACACCCUUGCCAAUGCGGGUGCAAUACACGGCAAACUGUGGGCACCUCCACCCCACCCAACCAACCUAGUGGUUGCCGUCAUGACCCGCCACCAACUUUCCUACUCUAGCAUCUGCCACCCUCAGCCUAGCCACGAUGACCUAAUCACUCAAUAAGCUUCAGACGCAUAUCUAAAGACCCUGAUAGCCCAUCUGUCUGACACCAAUGCCUGCCCUCUCAUGCCUGAUGAUCUCGCUCGGUGCCCAACACUCAAGCGCCUCCAUGACAUCCAGCACAUGUUGCGCCUCAAAGAUGGCAUACUUGUCUAUGUCCCUGAUGAUCUCACGGUGCCUAAACUUGUGGAUCCUCAGGGCCAAUGCCCACGACGCAUACACAUAUGCCCACGAUGCACCAUGUGCCGGCACCACGGUGCCAAGGCCACGUAUGAGACACUAAGA
Molecule: long non-coding RNA, 3143 nt
Organism: Ictalurus punctatus (channel catfish)
Lineage: Eukaryota; Metazoa; Chordata; Actinopteri; Siluriformes; Ictaluridae
Source: Ensembl